RNAcentral lists this long non-coding RNA (974 nucleotides) under Mytilus galloprovincialis (Mediterranean mussel). Lineage: Eukaryota; Metazoa; Mollusca; Bivalvia; Mytilida; Mytilidae. The record is from RNAcentral.
CUUUUUUUAACAUUUCAAUUAUACAUAUUAAUUAAGUAUGAUGUAAUAACAGUGUCUUUGUAUUUUGUUGUACAAUUUUAUAUAAGAGUUAAAAUUAGCUUCAGAUUUAGAUGAUAGCGUAUACAUUUUUUUAAUGUGUGCUAAAUUUCAAAAUGAAUAAGUUAAGGGGGUGUGGUAUGUAUUGAAAAUGAGUAAAAUAUCAGUCUGAAAAACAAAGGACCCGGAUGUAAAUAAAUAUAGGUUAUCGUACAGCUUUCAACAAUGAGCUUAGCAAUCCUCACAGGAUCAUACAGUAGAGUUAUCUGUAAAAGACUCCGCAUGACAAAUUUAAAAAAAAAAAAAAAAAAAAAGCUUGAUUUAUGCUAAGUACUAAAAAAACAAAAACAUUUAUGAUAGGCAACAAAUCAUGUAUUCCAAAAGCUAGACACGUCACAAACUAGAAUACCACAUAUAUGAUUUAUUCAUCACAUCAACUAGAUUCCAAUUUGUAUAAUAAAUACUGACACACCUUGAAUAGAACAAGACAACCAGCACGUUUCGUGAUUCAAAGCCCUGUGAGACAAAACUGCUCAGAUAUAAAAUUAAAGUAAUUAAAAAUGUAUAUAUUUCUUAACAGGUGUUAACUUGACUGUUUUGUCUUUUCGGAUAUAGGAGUACCUUAAAUUACGUCAUACGAGAAAAUAGGAUCCGAGGAAAAGCAAUUAAGAUUAAACAAGACCGUUUGGAGUACACCGAAAUAUUUCCUUACUAUGUGAUGCAGUUAAUAUAGGUUUGUUAGUACUUAACAAUUAACACCCCCCCUCCCACCAUUCAAAUUAUGGAACCGAAAAGGAGGCGUUUAAAACGAACAGAAAAAAUCAAACCAGAAAAUUCAUCUCAUUCACCUUAUAUUAUAGAAAAAAUUAAAGUAAAAAAAAAAAACUCCGAGAAAAAAUUCUAAACGGAAAGUCCCUCAGCAAAUGGUAAAAUCAAAA